AGUGAAGCGGGAUGAGCUCAAAUUUAAAAUCUGGCUGGUUUACUAGUCCGAAUUGUAGUUUAUAGAAGCGUUUUCGGUGGCAGCCUGGGUAUAAAUCCUUUGGAAUAGGGUAUCAUAGAGGGUGAGAAUCCCGUCUUUGACUCAGUGCAUGCUACUAUGUGAUACGUUUUCAAAGAGUCGAGUUGUUUGGGAAUGCAGCUCAAAAUGGGAGGUAAAUUUCUUCUAAAGCUAAAUACCGGCGAGAGACCGAUAGCGAACAAGUACCGUGAGGGAAAGAUGAAAAGAACUUUGAAAAGAGAGUUAAACAGUGCGUGAAAUUGUUGAAAGGGAAACGUUUGACACCAGUUAUGCGGGUGGAAAAUCAGUCUUUUGCAAUGGCGAGCUGUGGGCGUUCAGACCGCAAGGCUGGCGUUUGCUGCAUCGUUAUUGUAAGUGAUGCACUUUUUCAUUUGCAGGUCAACAUCAGUUUGCUUCGCUGGACAAAACCCCAAGGGAAGGUGGCAGCUUAGGCUGUGUUAUAGCCCUGGGGCGAUACAGUGGGGUGGACUGAGGUUUUCGCAGUGUGUGCUCUCGGGCAAGGCCGACUGGGUGCUAUGGGAUCGUUUGGCGUACAAUGCAUGCAUUUUGCGUCUUGUCUUUUUCAUACUCGCUCAACUCGGCUCUUCCACGCUUAGGAUGUUGACUUAAUGGUUUUAAACGACC
RNAcentral lists this ribosomal RNA (702 nucleotides) under Mortierella zonata. Its description in RNAcentral is "eukaryotic LSU rRNA". It matches the Rfam family "Eukaryotic large subunit ribosomal RNA", at positions 92 to 649 of the family's 3401-position model. Lineage: Eukaryota; Fungi; Mortierellomycota; Mortierellomycetes; Mortierellales; Mortierellaceae. The record is from RNAcentral.